UAACCUGGUUGAUCCUGCCAGUAGUCAUAUGCUUGUCUCAAAGAUUAAGCCAUGCAUGUCUAAGUUUAAGUACUAUGAAUGACGAAACUGCGAACGGCUCAUUAAAACAGUGAUAAUUGAUUUGAUGGACAUUCUACACGGAUAACCGUGGGAAACCAAGGCUAAUACGUGCAUAAGACUUCGGUCUGAGUUUAUUAGCUUAAGAUCCAUUUAAUGAUGGUUCAUGGUAAAUGAUCGGAUCGCACGCUUCUUGCGGCGAUGGUUCAUUCAAGUCUCUGACCUAUCAGCUUUCGACGGUCGGGUAUUGGCCCACCGUGGCUUUGACGGGUAACGGGGAAUUAGGGUUCGAUUCCGGAGAGGGAGCCUGAGAAACGGCUACCACGUCUAAGGAUGGCAGCAGGCGCGUAAAUUACCCAAUUCUGACAUAGAGAGGUAGUGACCAGAAAUAGCAACGUGAGGCAAUAGCUUUGCGAUGCAAUGAGUAGAAUCUACACGUUUCUACGAGUAACAAUGGAGGGCAAGUCUGGUGCCAGCAGCCGCGGUAAUUCCAGCUCCAAUAGCGUAUAUUAAAGUUGUUGCAGUUAAAACGCUCGUAGUUGAAUAUCUGCUAUAUGUGGUCGGUCCAUUUCGGUGUGAUCCGUUUUACGAAAUAGCAUUCGUUUGCUUUGAUUUAUCAUUGCAAACCGUUUACUUUGAGGAAAUUAGAGUGUUCAAAGCAGGCAAGUGCCUUGAAUACUUCAGCAUGGAAUAAUUGAUAGGACUUCCGUUCUGUCGUUGGUUCUGGGAAUGUGAAGUAAUGAUUAAAAGGGGCGGGCGGGGGCAUUCGUAUUGAACAGUCAGAGGUGAAAUUCUUAGAUUUGUUCAAGACGAACUACUGCGAAAGCAUUUGCCAAGUACGUUCCCAUUAAUCAAGAACGAAAGUUAGGGGAUCGAAGACGAUCAGAUACCGUCGUAGUCUUAACUAUAAACUAUGCCGGCUAGAGAUUGGAGGUGCGUCAUUUGGCCACCUUCAGCAUCUUCAGAGAAAUCUAAGUUUUUGGGUUCUGGGGGGAGUAUGGUCGCAAGGCUGAAACUUAAAGGAAUUGACGGAAGGGCACCACCAGGAGUGGAGCCUGCGGCUUAAUUUGACUCAACACGGGGAAACUCACCAGGUCCAGACAUGGGAAGGAUUGACAGACUGAUAGCUCUUUCUUGAUUCUAUGGGUGGUGGUGCAUGGCCGUUCUUAGUUCGUGGACUGAUUUGUCUGGUUGAUUCCGAUAACGAGCGAGAUCUUAACCUGCUAACUAGGUCUUCAGAAUGAGUUCUGAUGUGCCUUCUUAGAGGGACUUUGCAUAUUUAGUGUAAGGAGGUUUGAGGCAAUAACAGGUCUGUGAUGCCCA
Molecule: ribosomal RNA, 1380 nt
Filed under: uncultured eukaryote
Lineage: Eukaryota
Description: SSU rRNA
Rfam family: Eukaryotic small subunit ribosomal RNA
Source: RNAcentral